This is an RNA transcript of Scleropages formosus (Asian bonytongue), 8093 nucleotides long. It is a transcript of the gene named Rho GTPase activating protein 44b, with no coding region annotated. The transcript has 22 exons. The record is from RefSeq and is a predicted model, not a curated record. Lineage: Eukaryota; Metazoa; Chordata; Actinopteri; Osteoglossiformes; Osteoglossidae.
AGCGGCGGAGCAGCUCCGCGGCGGUGGAGCUGGGGGACCGGGGACGUGGGAGCGCGACGACACGGGCUCGUUCCUCCGCGUUCGCGAUGGAGUUUGCGGUUGGAGCGCGGGAGAGGGGCUGUCGCAGGGCGGGUCCACGGGCUGCGCGUCGCUCACGGAGUCCUUUUCUUUAAAAGAAAGAAAAAAAACAAGAAACCCGCUGCUGCUCGUAUAAUAACGCCGAGAAAUUAAGAUCAAAAGCACAGAACACAAUAAAUGCACGAUGAAGAAGCAGUUCAACCGCAUGCGGCAGCUCGCCAACCAAACCGUGGGCAGGGCUGAGAAAACAGAAGUGUUGAGUGAAGAUCUGCUGCAGGUGGAGAAGCGACUGGAGCUGGUCAAGCAGGUGUCCCACAGCACCCACAAAAAGCUGACCGCCUGCCUGCAGGGCCAGCAAGGGGCAGACAUCGACAAGCGGUCCGUCAGAUCACCCUCUAAAAAGCUGCCGCUCACAACGCUGGCUCAGUGCCUGGUGGAGGGCGCCGCUGUGCUGGGGGACGAAUCUCUCCUGGGGAAGAUGCUGAAGCUGUGCGGGGAGACGGAGGACAGGCUGGCCCAGGAGCUCAUCCUCUUUGAGUUUCAGGUUGAGCGGGACGUCAUCGAGCCACUCUACAUGCUCGCCGAGGUGGAGAUCCCCAACAUACAGAAACAGAGGAAACACCUAGCGAAGCUCGUCUUGGACAUGGACUCUGCCCGCACGCGAUUGCAGCAGUCCUCGAAGACUUCGGGGCUGUCCAGCAACCCACAGUUAGGGGGCACCAAGGCUGAUGCCCUCAGAGAAGAGAUGGAAGAGGCAGCCAACCGGAUGGAGAUCUGCAGGGAUCAGUUAUCAGCGGAUAUGUACAGCUUUGUGGCCAAAGAAAUCGACUAUGCAAACUACUUCCAGACGCUAAUAGAGAUCCAAGCCGAGUACCACAGGAAGUCCUUGGAGCUCCUCCAGGGGGUCCUGCCGCAGAUCAAAGCCCACCAGGAGGCCUGGGUGGAGAAGCCAUGCUAUGGGAAGCCUCUGGAGGAACAUCUGGCCAUCAGUGGGAGAGAGAUCGCCUUCCCCAUCGAGGCCUGUGUCACCAUGCUGCUGGAGUGCGGCCUGCAGGAGGAGGGUUUAUUCAGGGUGGCCCCGUCUACCUCCAAGCUAAAAAAACUCAAGGCGUCUCUGGACUGCGGUGUGCUGGACGUGCACGAGUAUUCUACUGACCCUCACGCCAUUGCAGGAGCACUGAAGUCCUACCUGCGUGAGCUCCCCGAGCCGCUCAUGACAUUUGACCUCUACGAUGAGUGGAUCCAAGCUUCCAACGUUCAGGACCAAGACAAGAGACUCCAAGCUCUACUGAUAGCCUGUGAGAAGCUUCCCAAGGCUAACAGAAAUAACUUCAGAUACUUAAUCAAAUUCUUGGCCAAGCUGAACGAGUACCAGGAUGUGAACAAGAUGACGGCAGGGAACAUGGCUAUUGUGUUGGGUCCGAACCUGCUGUGGUCGAACACAGAUGGGAACAUCACGGAGAUGAUGACCACUGUGUCUCUCCAGAUCGUGGGUAUCAUUGAGCCCAUAAUUCAGCAUGCUGACUGGUUCUUCCCUGGAGAAAUUGAGUUCAAUGUGACAGGCAACUAUGGCAGUCCCAUUCACACCAACCACAAUGCCAACUACAGCUCCAUGCCCUCGCCUGACAUGGACCACUCAGAACGAAAACACGACCAGGGCCGGCGCCCGCUAAGCGUUGCCACGGACAACAUGAUGUUGGAAUUCUACAAGAAGGACGGCAUUAGGAAGAUACAAAGUAUGGGCGUUCGAGUGAUGGACACAUCUUGGGUGUCGCGCCGGGGCUCAUCUGGAGCCCGCAAGGCCUCCUCCUCCUCCUCCUCCUCCUCCACUGCCCCGAGCGCGCAGCCCCCUACCCCACCCACUGACUCGCUCAUCCCCGAGCAGCCGGACGAGACGUCCGCUUCCCCAGGCCCCACUCCUCCUCCCGUUAGCUCCGACCGGGCCAGCUCAGACGAUGCGUCGUCCAAUUGGUCGGACUCCUGUUACGCCUACCCUUCCCCGGAGGAGGAAAGACCGCCCCCACCCUACCCCUCCUUGCCCUCCUACCCCACCCCUCACCAUUACUACCCCAGAGCACCUCCCUGCACGAGGCCCGUCGCCCGAGGCCCCGAGUCGAUGCCCCUGGGGCCAUCCCCGCCCCCUUACCGCUGGGCCAUCUAUGCCCCCUCCUUCCCACCUCCCUUCUCCCAGCAGCAGCUGGACAUUAACUGUAACCCCAAACCCAGCUUCCUGCACCUCCCCAAACAGGGCUCCCUCCCGGACACUCCGCAUGGCCACGCUCAGCCCGACGCUAAUACCACCCCCCCUUACAUGAAAUCCUCCUUCUUUCUGACCCGAUACGACCUGCCCCCUGGCACUGCCCCCGCUAACCACCCCGCCUCCGCUCCCCUGCCAUGGGCUGCCUGUGCCUGUAGCCAAGAGAGAGGACCCAAGCUGACUAGUACCUUGAAGAACAAGGAGCUCUCUCCUGUGAUUGGGCAGAAGAUUGUCCAGGGGGCGUGUCCCAUGGGGAGUGCAGCCAAUAGCGGACAAGGGCAGCUCAACAACGACCAGAGCCCACACGCCCUUCGCACAGGGAGGAAGCUGGCCCCCAUCCCGCCCAAAGUCCCGUUUGUCCAGUCAGGCGGGGUGUCGGACCAGUCGACGGGUCAGCCGUCACCCGUCAGCCUGUCCCCAACCCCUCCUAGCACCCCGUCACCAUACGGGUUCAGCUACCCCCAGGGCUACGCCACCAUCGCUUCCCCAGGCCAGAGCAUCCCAGCCACACCCACCUCCCUGUCAUCUCCGCCCUCCCUAACGGGCACGCUUACCAAGUCGCGGCCCACCCCUAAGCCCCGGCAGCGGCCCAGCCUGCCCCCGCCCCAGCCCCCGACAGCCCCCGGCUCCAGCCCCCGUGCCCUGGACCACGGCCUGCUGGACGGGUUGUCCCCUGGAGAAAGCAUGUCCACAGGUGAGUCCGUCCCCGCGGCGUCUCCUAGCAACCGCCGAGCUGCUUGAUCUGACCCCCACAAGUGAAAGGCCUUCCAGGAAUGUUCUGUACAGCUUUCAGUGGAAGUUCAUUAUUUUGAACAAUCCAGAAAUAUCCUGCUGCACACAUUAUCUUUCAUGCCCUUUCCUCAGUCAACGGUUGUGUAUUCUUGCUUAUCUCUGUUUUUUUUAAAUGGGUGAAAACAUGAGCUUUGCCCAAAAUAUUUCCUGUUGUAUCUGUAUAUUACAGGUUGACUCAGAUGAAAGAUAUAAAUUCUUGAUCGAUGCCACCGAAUGCCUAGUGUUCUGUGCUCACAGAGGACAGCACUUUCAUCACUAAUACUCAUCUUGGGACUGAAUGUCGCCCGAUUUAUUCACGGGUUAGGGUUUGUAAAAACUCCCGAUGUUGCUAUAAUGAAUAAAAAAUGAUUCUUUAAGGGUUUUCAAAAACUUUUCAGUAUUCUAUUAAACAACACUAAAAUGAAAACUAAUUGAAAAAGUCCAAAAAAUAAAGUUAAACUGGUUCGAAAUUUUUUUAUUUUUUUUGAAAACGUGCCACUCGGCUGUCUAUAAAGCUUCUUUAGCAUAUAGUGUCUAUGAUGCAAUCGUCGUUAAUGGGUAUUGCGAAAUAGCAAAUAAAUAAUACAGUGCCCACCAUCCCAACACGGCUCCGCUGUUCUUUCUCAGUGCCGAAUUUUGGCAAGGGAGUGGUGACAGGUCUGUCCUCUGUACAUCCAUCUUGACUUGCUUUUAUACUGUUUUCAGCUAUUAAAAUUACUUUCCUCUGUCGAUUGCUGUUGUGUACCUGCAGCUGUAUGAGACGAGUCAUUCAGUGUGGGGGGGACUUUUAGGAAUCACUCCUGGACCUGGAACCCCCCACCAUAAAUGUUGAACUGGACGGCAAGUCUGAGGGCGCCCCCGGCGGGGACUCGGAGGCUGCAGUCGAUGCGACCGGCAAGGUUGAGUCCGAGGACGAGUCGGAGAGCACGGUCCUAUGACCCUGAGAGUCACCGCCAGCCCUUCUCAGCCCGUCCCGCUCACCCACAGCUUACCUGGACCACCACUCUGCCUCUUGCUCCUCCUCCUCUUCCUCCAUCAGUGUACAAAGUACUCUUUCAGGUGAACCGCCCCGUCCCCGUCUUGGAUCGGAACCGGCUUCCGUGCUGCUCCGCUUCUAUUCUACUGACGGCAAGGUCGAAAGAAUGCCUCUCUACUGAAUAUAGACUUUAAAACCACUUUGCAACUUUCAUUUGAACCACUUUCACUUUAGAUAUAUAUGUAUACAUAUAUAUAUAUGUAUGGCAUGGUAUUUUUUGAAGUUUACUUUUAUUUUUUCAUUUUUUUUAAUUUAGUUUUUUUUGCAUUUUUCAACUCUUUUGCCUCCCUGCCAUUAUGUUUCUGUGACUGGCGCUGCCCUCUGGAUCUGAGGCUGAUCUCGUCUCGCCCCGGACUCGCGGUGAGGGUGGAAGGCCAUAUAGAAACCUGCUGUGUACAGGCAGGGGGUGGAACAGGUUUGAAUGCAUUCGUGACAGGUGCCCACCCCCCCCUUUCCCAUGCAGCCCCCUUGCGCUGUCACUGUAGUGAUCACCGUGGUUAUUGCCUUUGCAUUUACAACGAUCGGUUAGCGUAGUGUGCCUCGGAUCCUCAUAGUGAGAUAGAUAGGUUUAAUAAUAUUACUUAGAUUAUAAAUGGCAUAUUUUAAAAAUAUAUUUUAAAUGUAUAUAAAUAUACUCAUAUAAAAGAGCACAUUUAUAAAUGUAAACAUACACUUUAAGGUCUGUCGAAGGGCACAUUUUUCAAAUGCGAGGCUCUGAGGUGUCUGAUGCACAAAAAUGGUAGUCGUGGUUCAGUGGGCGGGGUCUAUCAUUGCUCCACCCACCACGUCACGGUCUGCAGGUUCGUGAUUAACCCCAGGACCCGGAUUUAGCUAAGAUUUGCCUUGUGCCAGGUCACCCUCCGCCCUCUCCUCCCACCUGUACCCCUUCCCAUUGACUCAGGAAGCCAAAAGAAAAUGUGCAGACCAAUAUCAGAAUAUGAAACAGAAGGAAUUAUGAUAAUGCGUAAUAUAUAUAUGAAAGUAUAUCUUCAAAUAAAUACACAUAUAAUUAUUUAUUAUUUUUCCCAUUUAUGAUUUUUACAAAGACAGCGAGAUAGUAUUCUGACUGUGACAAGAUCCAUUGUGCCCACCUUUUGUGGUAGGAUGCAUCGAACCCGAUCUCCAGGGCCACGCCUUUUGUGGGAGGGGCUAGAUUGUCAAGGGGCGGGAUCAAGUCUCCUGCACCUCAUGCCCCUCCUCUUUACCUUUCCCACGGGGCACCUCAUGCCGGACCCCUGGACGCAAACGCACUGCCCGGAAGCCAUAACGCUUCUUCCUUCGCCCAUAAUUCCAAGUGCUAAAUAUUUCGCUUUCUACUGUAAAUACAGAAAUGCUGUACAGAAAGAUCUGUAUAUAUAUAUCCCUGGAUAAAUAAAUUAAAUACAGAAUAUAUAUAUAUAUACGCGUGUCAAGGUCAAUAUAGAUUCAGCAGAUUUGGAAACAUGUCACAAGCAUGUUCUGUGUUUUUAUCCUCACAUGAGGAACAUCGCAUUAUAUAAUACCAUAUUGCCGCUGUACCAUCUUGCCAGAUAGUCGCUGGCAAAUAUGAAAUGCGGUAAGUUUUUGAGCAGUUCCGAGCGAGCUUUAAUGGAUGAAUGAAGGUACGGCAAAGAUACAGACUUCUUGUUUUGUAGGUGCCACCCCCGCAUUCUGUUGAGUGCACGUAGGGGACACUCAUAUUUUGAGUAGACACCAGGUGUGGGAUACCAGCGUCAGCCGUAGCAUCACAAAGGCCUCACUCAUCAGGAUGUUUUAUAGGUCGUGUGGGGGGUCAGGAUGUGGGGAGGAGGCAUGUUGGGGGAGAGCUUUUAAGAAGGGUUUAACAUCCGGCUGUUCCCGUAUGUAUAUUCCCCCAUCAUGUUAAAAAGCAAUAAGGUUCAACGCUAGUCAAGGAAUGGAGGGCUUCACACCUAAAUGAGUAAAAUAUUAACAAAUCAAAGUGCAAUUACCAUAUUUAUUGAUCAAUGUAAACUCGGGUACGUGGCGAGGGCCAGAUUGGGAGAGAACCUCACUGGUCCGCUGUCCAACCACUCGAUCGGAUCAUUAUCACUCUUGAUUUUUCCUUUCAAAUGCGUCCUUUCGGCAGCAACGUUAUAUAGGCGACAUCGGUGUUUAUGGUGAUGAAAUGUAUCCUUUGUUUGGUGCCGGGUGUUUCCACAGUAACGGUUGGUUGUGUCGGUAACUGGUCUGUGAUGGUCCCUUAGCUGUUUUGUAAACAAGGGAUGUCUUUUUCUAAAGCGGAAAACCGUAAGCAUUUGAGUAUGUAUAUUUUUUGCUUGUUCUCAAUGGGGGUGAUUUUUAUAGCAGCUGCUAAGUCCUACUGUGAAGCGUAGGAGAAUUUCUCAGAGUUGACCAUGUUUUGUUUUUGUGACCGUGCCCGUUCGAAGGGAACGGUACCAGGCGUUUUCCAUGCCUAGGUGGACCGUAGCGGUAAACACUUGCUGCUGAUCAUCUUCCUCUGGUUGUCUGAGGGACAGCAGAUGGAGCAGCGUGUUGUUGGGGUAGGAGGACAUCUGGGUACAUCUGCUGGGGCGGGACUUGGAGUCAUAACUUCGUCCAAUGCGGAGCUGCAUUCAGGGGAGGCGGGACUUUUCCUGGCUGCUACAAUGAGCCAACCUAAGCAAUGGAGGUGCUGGUGUUCGCACGCUGCCUCCGACUUCAUCUAGCCAUCCAUUCAAUAUUGCACCGGUCCAUCUGAUGACGACGGCAUUCCUAGACCUUCUCUUAACUUAAUCGAUGGACAUCCUCCUACCUUUCCUAAUGCAACACAAAAAUAUAAAAUAAAAGCCGCCAUCGUGCUGCCGUCCUGCUGGGAGAUUUCUGUUGAACCCAAAAGUCCUGUUGCAUUUAAAAUGCAGCAAAUAACCAUAUUUUGCCAAACCCAAGGAAAUAAAGAGUUUUGACUGGAGGAAAACCUGAUGAUGCUGUACGUGUGGCUUGGUGAAGGGGGUGAAGAGCUACGGUUUGCAGACCAGUAGGUGGCGUAGUGGUUAAGGGAAGAACUUUGUAAGCUGAAAUAUGCCAGUUCAAGGCCCAGGCUGCAUUCUUCUUUACUAACUGAAAGGGUUCUUGUCCUCAUUCGCCCCACUGACAUAUCCAAUUGAUCAAAUGGGUGCAGUUGAUAUGAAUCGGAAAUUCUGAGUCAAAGUUUCUUCAAAUUCGUUGCAUCAUGAGAUAACUUCCUCUUAGUGUGACAAAUGUUUUACCGUUCAGAGCCCAUCCUGAGUCCCUAUCCUGGGACUGAACCAAUGUCAGCAUCGACAGGAUAAAUCCUGAGUCGCGACUGAGGCUGCGUGGGAUCAGCUCAGCGCAGCUGUAAUUCAAACUGGUUUUUGCGGCCAAUUAGUUGAUUCCAUCUAGCAAAGUGGGCAUUCACCUAUUGCUCUCAAUCAUGGGGGGAGAUGGAUUCCCCCCCCCCAAACCUGUGGCAGUAAGCUUUUCUUUCCUUUGUCACCUGUCUGCUCCACCCCCCACCCCCGUUGCCCAAAUAAGCACAUUACCUGAUUUACCUUUAUGUAUAUUUAAAAGGUGCAACACUGUGGUGCAUGCUGGGGCUGUGUUUUUUGCGCCCAACCAAGACGUUGUUAUUUCGUUUUGUUCUUAGAUUUGUGUUGAAGUUGGGGAAGAAAAAAAAAACGCGUCUGAUUGGUUGAGGGGGUCGAAGAGAAAUAGAGAAGGACUAAGACGAUAAGCUGGAGUGCUUUUAGAAUGCGCUCCGCACCACCAUGCUCCAGAUGCUCAGGAGCGUAGGGUCAGUUCCUGGAGGGGCUCAGAGCCAGGAGUGGUCACUCCCAUUAGACAAGGUCCCCUCCUCACCAUGCUGAUCCCUCCCAUGAACACAGCCCCGCCCCUUUGCUCCGCCUCCCGAGUGGAACCAAUUGUGUACUGUUCAAUCUGCAUCAAUCCUUAUCAGAAUGUCAAGACGAUUAAAUUUACGUUUUUAACAAGGGG